UUGAUUGACGGUGCUUGCAUCUGAUUGACUUUUGUUGCCAACGAGUGGCGGACGGGUGAGUAACACGUACGUUACCUGCCCAGAAGUGGGGGACAACAUUUGGAAACAGAUGCUAAUACCGCAUAACAGCGUUGUUCGCAUGAACAACGCUUAAAAGAUGGCUUCUCGCUAUCACUUCUGGAUGGACCUGCGGUGCAUUAGCUUGUUGGUGGGGUAACGGCCUACCAAGGCGAUGAUGCAUAGCCGAGUUGAGAGACUGAUCGGCCACAAUGGGACUGAGACACGGCCCAUACUCCUACGGGAGGCAGCAGUAGGGAAUCUUCCACAAUGGGCGCAAGCCUGAUGGAGCAACACCGCGUGAGUGAAGAAGGGUUUCGGCUCGUAAAGCUCUGUUGUUAAAGAAGAACACGUAUGAGAGUAACUGUUCAUACGUUGACGGUAUUUAACCAGAAAGUCACGGCUAACUACGUGCCAGCAGCCGCGGUAAUACGUAGGUGGCAAGCGUUAUCCGGAUUUAUUGGGCGUAAAGAGAGUGCAGGCGGUUUUCUAAGUCUGAUGUGAAAGCCUUCGGCUUAACCGGAGAAGUGCAUCGGAAACUGGAUAACUUGAGUGCAGAAGAGGGUAGUGGAACUCCAUGUGUAGCGGUGGAAUGCGUAGAUAUAUGGAAGAACACCAGUGGCGAAGGCGGCUACCUGGUCUGCAACUGACGCUGAGACUCGAAAGCAUGGGUAGCGAACAGGAUUAGAUACCCUA
This 753-nucleotide ribosomal RNA is filed under the name uncultured bacterium. RNAcentral describes it as "bacterial SSU rRNA". It matches the Rfam family "Bacterial small subunit ribosomal RNA", at positions 62 to 789 of the family's 1533-position model. The record is from RNAcentral.